AUGCAAACAAGUUGACAUUUACAUUUACGCUUGACGUGUUUGAAACUUUGAUUAAAAUUUUUCUUCUGCGAGCACACCACAUCAUAUUUUGGCAUCAUUGAGGUAUAUGGCAGGGGAGAUUUUACUCUGAAGGAUUCAAUGCCAUUAAUGUGCAGGCUGUUGUUGACGUCAACAUGAGAUGUCAGCAUGUCACUGAUGGAUGCUUGCCUUUCAAGCCCAAUAAGUGAUGUUAACAAGAAACUGUUUCCAUGCGUCUGCCGUCUGCGUAACCUCUGUCUUGAACGUUCCUCUGAUAAAGGAUUUGGUUUGAGACGUGAUGGGAAAUGAAGUAAUUAACAACACACCAGCACAGGGAGCAGCAUUUAAUAAGAGACAGCAGCUGAUCAAACUGUUUGAUAAAAAUGUUUUAAAUUGGUACAAUUGAUGUAGUUAUUAAUGUUAUUAAGUGAUA
Long non-coding RNA from Dreissena polymorpha, 451 nucleotides. RefSeq lists it as uncharacterized. The transcript has 3 exons. Lineage: Eukaryota; Metazoa; Mollusca; Bivalvia; Myida; Dreissenidae. The record is from RefSeq and is a predicted model, not a curated record.